AGAGUGCAGCAAAUUUCUAUCGUGCCUUUUCCUGGAAUGUAUUUUUGUAUUUCUUAAAAGAGGUACAGAAAACAGAUUGCUUGUCCCGUCAGAGAUGCUUUCUUGUUUGUUCUUAAAUUUCUAAUUCUGCUGCACAAUAAUGUAAUUGGAGAGUGGAGCUAGCUGUGUAUUUUGACUUCACUUAUUUUGUUGGACCAGAUAUGAUAGUUGUCAGUUAUUAAUUUUAAGUAAUUCCUUAAUUAGCAAUUAUUUUUGUUACUGUUUUGUAUUAUUUUUAUGCUAUUAUUAUUUAAUACUAGUUUCAUUUGGAUAGGAAUAAUUACUUUGAACUGAUAUAUACUGAAAACAUAAAAUUCUGAAAAUCUAAAGAGCAACCUUUUAUGUAAGUUUUAGAAUAUAGAUGCAUUCCAUCUAUUCCUUAAUAUGCAUUAAUUUAGGUAAAUUUACCUUUCCUUUACUGUCAACUGCAGUAAAUGGCCAAGAUUAAUUAGGCAAUUGAGAUUAUUUUGUUUUUUUCAUGGUGCUUGUGAUGGUCAACUGUAAUUGAUGAGACUGUUGUGUCCUAGCUAGUUGCUCUCAGCUGUAGCCUGUUUGUUCAGUGACAAUGUAUGGUACAGCAUCCUUGCCAUGAUAUUUGAGCUGUUCCUCGUUCAAGUCAGGGCUAAAUCAGUACCACUAGCUUGGGGAAAUGCCAUAAUUGAAUUAAUUUGGGCUCUACCAUAGCUGCAGAGAAAGAGGUUUUCCUCCCAGAGAUGUGGGGUAAGCAUUUCAGGCUGUCUUAGAUAAUGCUCUGAAACAUUUGCUGUAUUCUCAUGUAGAUUCUCUUUUACUUAAUUUUGCAUGUAGCAUGUUCUUGGCUAGUUUAAAAGCUGUAUAAUAACAAAUGCUACCUAGAAUCUCACAUUCACUGCUUUUAUAGAAAAAAAAAGAUGUGAAUAAAAGAGAGGAAUGCAGAAGCAAAAAGGUUAUUCUCCUGAAAUCAGGUAUUUCCCCUUUGGCUUUGGUCUGAAGAUCUGCUUCAGGAGAUGGUUGGGACAGAUGGUUUGACCACAUGUAUAAUAACUUAAUUAGAUUUUGUCUCUGUCCCUCCUGCCCACCCCUCAAAAAAUCUAGAUCUAAGAAUAAAUUGGCUUUUAUAUAUGAGAGCAUCUUUCAGAAUUCUUUUCAUCAGUCUGCUGGUGCGAUAUUGCUCCUUGAGAAUGAUGUGGUAGGUUUUGUGUUCAGUUUUAACAGAAUCCGAUUUAGGUGGAGUGUAUUGCAAACAUUAUUUUGAUUAAAGUGACUUCAGGAAUAAAACGGUCCAAAAUUUGUCUUACAGUGGAAACUAAAUAUGACAAUAUGAUAACAAAAAUAUCCAAAUUCUUAUUAUGCCUCUGUUUGUUCUGAGAUCCAUAGAUCUUUGGUGGUUAGUGUAUCAAGAUUUACCUAGCCUCUUGCAGUUUCCUCCAGGAUUUUUUUUUCAGUGACAGCAAUGUUCAAUCAUACUUCUGGUUGGGUUUUUUUGAGGAAAAACCAAACUGCAUAUAUUUAUGCUUCUUGUGUUCAGUAAUUUUAAUGCAUGCGAUAGCGUUCUGCUGUGAGUGACUCCAAGGGGCUGCUGUCUCCAACAAGAUGGGAAUUACUUGAUUCUAGGAAUUUUUUCCAGAAGGUGUCUGGAUUCAAGUUUUUCAUUCAAAUAGGCCAGCUUUCAGGAAUCCCUGGACCUUGAGACGAGAGGGAAGGUCUGGAGCAUGGACAACUUACCCAUGGUGAAGGAGGAUCAAGUUAGGAACACUUAAACUGAACAUAGAGAAGUUCCAUGGGGAGUGAUGACUUGCAGCCAUGAAUGCUAAGGGAGCUGGCUGAUGUCAUUGUGAGGCCACUCUCAGUUGUCUUUGAGAGGUCAUGGUGAUUAGAAGAGGUUCCUGAAGACUGCGAAAAAGCAAAUGUCACUCACAUUUUCAAGAAGGGCAAGCAGGGAGAUCUGGGGAUUAGGACAAGAAACAAUAGACACAAACUGAAACACAUGAAAUUCUGUCUAAACGCAAGAAAACACUGUGAAGGUGGCCAACAUUGGAUUGAGUUGCCCUAAGAGGUUGUGAAGUCUCCAUCUGUGGAGAUAUUCAGAACCCAACUGGACAUGGUCCUGGGCAACCUGCUGUAGCUGACCCUGCUUGAGCAGGGUGUUUGAACCAGAUGAUCACACGAGGUCCCUUCCAGCCUAAAUGACUGUGUGAUUCUGUGAGAGUUGUGGACUGCACUUUCCAUUUAAUAAAGUAGAGGUAAUCAUCAAGCGUUUAAAGGAUGGGUGAAAGAAGUUAUGAUGUAGAAUUUGAGUGCCAGAAGCUUUAGGGGUAAUAAGUGACCUAAUCAUUGGCUGUUUGUUUACUAAAUUGCAAAAAGUACAAGUACAUAAAUUUUCUUCAUAGCAUUAACUCAGUGUUGAAGUCCUAAAAGACAGUGCUGUAGAAUGGCAGGAGUUGUUGCUUUUUAUGUCUGAUUGUGUGCUAUAAAACAGUUGAGAGCAUGAAAUACUGUGAAGUGUUAAUACAAACUUUAGUACGUAGAGCUUCUUGUUAAUGCUUUAUGUGUAUUUUCAAAUAGUGCUAUGGAAAAGUGAUAGCAUUGCAUACUGUAUUUCAUUAAAUCAGCUACUGUAACUAAAUAGCUGUAGACUUCUUAAAACAGUAUUUCAUAAUUAUUUAGAAGUAUUUUAUUCAAACUAUCAACUGUGUAGAAAAAUGUAUAGCCAGCAGCCCUCUCUGCUGUUUCAGCACCUUUUUUUAAACACUUUCUUUCUUCCUGUGUAAAUGAUCAGUGUAAUGCAUAAUGUCUCUUGUCUGUUAACUAGAGUUUUGUGCUUAAAUGUGAGAACCAUUAUAUUGAGCCUUUAUAUUUGUUGUAAUUAAAAAUGUCAUUUUAAGUGGUCUAUUUCUGUGGAAUUCUUGGAGUAGUGGACUGUACUGACAAGUUGUGUUGUUUAACUCCUUAUAAAUUGCGGAUGUGCAUCUAUUUUUUUACUUUUGGCUAGAUAAUAAUGUAAUAUAUUACUAUAGAUUUAGCUGAUGUUUGCCUUUAUUCAGCAGCAGUACAUGCUGAAUGCCAGUAAAACGAAUUUGUAAUGUCAAGGAAGAAAACUUCUGUAAGUUGAUGCAAGCAAAUGUUUGCGAUCAGCAUGUAUCUGUCCUGUGUUUGUUUCAUUAAGCUCCUACAAGCCACCCAAUUAUGUAACUCAAAUAAAUGAAAAUUGCUUCAAAAUCCUA
Long non-coding RNA from Aquila chrysaetos chrysaetos, 3242 nucleotides. RefSeq lists it as uncharacterized. The transcript has 2 exons. The record is from RefSeq and is a predicted model, not a curated record. Lineage: Eukaryota; Metazoa; Chordata; Aves; Accipitriformes; Accipitridae.